CUCUCUCUCUCUCUCUCUCUCUCUCUGUCUCUGUCUCUGUCUCUGUGCGUGUGUGAGCACAAUCUCUUUCUCUCUCUCUCUCUCUCUUUCUCCCCCCCCUCUAUCCUUGCAGGUACUGAGGAAAGGCCAUGUUGGCACGCAGCAAGAAGGCAGCCAUCUGGAAGCUAGGAAGAGAAUCCUUACUAGAACCCAACCAUUUUGGCACCCUAAUCUCAGACUUCCAGCCUCCUCGAAGAAAAUAAACUGCUGAAUACCACGUGGAAGCUGCUAAGGCUUAUGGCUUACAUUCUUUGAGGCAGUGACCUGACAUGUAACUGGAUCCCGUUUAGCCAUGGUUGAAGUUGGAUACUCCUUGCUCCUCAGCUUGCAGACGGCCUAUUGUGGGACCUUGUGAUCAUCAAGGCAAGAAGGCCUGACACGUUCAAUGUGUUCUAACCUCCUGCCAAGUAGUGUGCAAGGUUCAAGAGAUGGAAAAUUGGAAGCGAACGUCCUUGGAGAAGCUCUCAUUCAACUGAAAGCAAAUAUGGAACAGAUAAGAAGGCAAGAAAAGGAUCAUCACAAAUAUAGCCUGACUGGAUGCUGUUUAGAGCAGUAGCUAUUCUAUUACCUCACAUUCUCAGGUUCUAUAAUCUGAAAAUAGCUAAAUAAAAAUAAUAGCU
This is a long non-coding RNA of Pan troglodytes (chimpanzee), 659 nucleotides long. RefSeq lists it as uncharacterized. NCBI's taxonomy places the organism in Eukaryota, Metazoa, Chordata, Mammalia, Primates, Hominidae. The transcript has 4 exons. The record is from RefSeq and is a predicted model, not a curated record.